GAUGAACGCUGGCGGCGUGCCUAAUACAUGCAAGUCGAGCGAACAGACGAGGAGCUUGCUCCUCUGACGUUAGCGGCGGACGGGUGAGUAACACGUGGAUAACCUACCUAUAAGACUGGGAUAACUUCGGGAAACCGGAGCUAAUACCGGAUAAUAUAUUGAACCGCAUGGUUCAAUAGUGAAAGACGGUUUUGCUGUCACUUAUAGAUGGAUCCGCGCCGCAUUAGCUAGUUGGUAGGGUAACGGCUUACCAAGGCAACGAUGCGUAGCCGACCUGAGAGGGUGAUCGGCCACACUGGAACUGAGACACGGUCCUGACUCCUACGGGAGGCAGCAGUAGGGAAUCUUCCGCAAUGGGCGAAAGCCUGACGGAGCAACGCCGCGUGAGUGAUGAAGGUCUUCGGAUCGUAAAACUCUGUUAUUAGGGAAGAACAAAUGUGUAAGUAACUAUGCACGUCUUGACGGUACCUAAUCAGAAAGCCACGGCUAACUACGUG
Molecule: ribosomal RNA, 497 nt
Filed under: uncultured bacterium
Lineage: Bacteria
Description: partial 16S ribosomal RNA
Rfam family: Bacterial small subunit ribosomal RNA
Source: RNAcentral